The sequence is a ribosomal RNA, 120 nucleotides long. It matches the Rfam family "Bacterial large subunit ribosomal RNA", at positions 2800 to 2925 of the family's 2925-position model.
CAAGAUGAGAUUUCCCAGUAUGUAAGACCCCUUGAAGACGACGAGGUAGAUAGGUUGGAGGUGGAAGUGCAGCAAUGCAUGGAGCUGACCAAUACUAAUCGGUCGAGGGCUUAUCCAAAU